CAGUCUAUCAUUGUUGGACAUUUAGGUUGGUUCCAAGUCUUUGCUAUUGUGAAUAGUGCCACAAUAAACAUGUUUCAACUUUACAAAUAUCUUUGGGAGAAUUCCACACAAGUUUGGGCAGUAAAAGCUAUUCAGGCAACCUACAAAAUGGGAGAAAAUUUUCGCAACCUACUCAUCUGACAAAGGGCUAAUAUCCAGAAUCUACAAUGAACUCAAACAAAUUUACAAGAAAAAAACAAACAACCCCAUCAAAAAGUGGGCAAAGGACAUGAACAGACACUUCUCAAAAGAAGACAUUUAUGCAGCCAAAAAACACAUGAAAAAAUGCUCAUCAUCACUGGCCAUCAGAGAAAUGCA
This 357-nucleotide long non-coding RNA is filed under the name Pan troglodytes (chimpanzee). RNAcentral's name for it is "long non-coding RNA NONPTRT002663". Lineage: Eukaryota; Metazoa; Chordata; Mammalia; Primates; Hominidae. The record is from RNAcentral.